CAAGUCGAGCGAAUUUCAGCAGCAUAUCGCUGAAGUUAGCGGCAGACGGGUGAGUAAUACUUGGGCAAUCUGCCCUUGAGUGGGAAACAACCUGACGAAAGUCGGGCUAAUGUCCCAUAAGACCACAGGAUGGCAUCAUCCAGGGGUCAAAGCUCCGCAAGGGGCGCUUGAGGAGGAACCCGAGUCCUAUCAUGGUAGUUGGUGAGGUAACGGCUCACCAAGCCUUUGACGGGUAGCCGGCCUGAAAGGGUGAUCGGCCACACUGGCACUGAGACACGGGCCAGACUCCUACGGGAGGCAGCAGUGGGGAAUUUUGGACAAUGGGGGCAACCCUGAUCCAGCGACGCCGCGUGAAGGACGAAGGUCUUCGGAUUGUAAACUUCUUUUGGAGGGGAUGAAUGCCCUGGUGAAUAGCCAGGGGUGACAGUACUCUCUGAAUAAGCCACGGCUAACUACGUGCCAGCAGCCGCGGUAAUACGUAGGUGGCAAGCGUUACUCGGAAUCACUAGGCGUAAAGCGCAGGUAGGCGGUUUGGUAAGUCUCUUGUGAAAGCUCCUGGCUCAACUGGGAGAGGUCAAGGGAAACUACCGGACUAGAGUGUGGUAGGGGAAACUGGAAUUCCCGGUGUAGCGGUGAAAUGCGUAGAUAUCGGGAGGAAUACCUAUGGCGAAAGCAGGUUUCUGGGCCAUCACUGACGCUGAGCUGCGAAAGCUAGGGGAGCAAACAGGAUUAGAUACCCUGGUAGUCCUAGCCCUAAACGAUGCUCAUUAGAUGUGGGAGGUAUCGACCCCUUCCGCGUCGCAGCUAACGCAUUAAAUGAGCCGCCUGGGGAGUACGGCCGCAAGGUUGAAACUCAAAGGAAUUGACGGGGGCCC
RNAcentral lists this ribosomal RNA (875 nucleotides) under uncultured Actinomycetes bacterium. RNAcentral's name for it is "bacterial SSU rRNA". It matches the Rfam family "Bacterial small subunit ribosomal RNA", at positions 58 to 922 of the family's 1533-position model. Lineage: Bacteria; Bacillati; Actinomycetota; Actinomycetes. The record is from RNAcentral.